Molecule: ribosomal RNA, 492 nt
Filed under: uncultured bacterium
Lineage: Bacteria
Description: partial 16S ribosomal RNA
Rfam family: Bacterial small subunit ribosomal RNA
Source: RNAcentral
AGUGAACGCUGGCGGUAGGCCUAACACAUGCAAGUCGAACGGCAGCACAGUAAGAGCUUGCUCUUACGGGUGGCGAGUGGCGGACGGGUGAGGAAUACAUCGGAAUCUACUUUUUCGUGGGGGAUAACGUAGGGAAACUUACGCUAAUACCGCAUACGACCUACGGGUGAAAGCAGGGGAUCUUCGGACCUUGCGCGGUUGAAUGAGCCGAUGUCGGAUUAGCUAGUUGGCGGGGUAAAGGCCCACCAAGGCGACGAUCCGUAGCUGGUCUGAGAGGAUGAUCAGCCACACUGGAAGUGAGACACGGUCCAGACUCCUACGGGAGGCAGCAGUGGGGAAUAUUGGACAAUGGGCGCAAGCCUGAUGCAGCCAUACCGCGUGGGUGAAGAAGGCCUUCGGGUUGUAAAGCCCUUUUGUUGGGAAAGAAAAGCAGCAGGUUAAUACCCCGCUGUUCUGACGGUACCCAAAGAAUAAGCACCGGCUAACUUCGUG